AUACGUAGGUGGCGAGCGUUAUCCGGAUUUACUGGGUGUAAAGGGCGCGUAGGCGGGGAAGCAAGUCAGAUGUGAAAUCCAUGGGCUCAACUCAUGAACUGCAUUUGAAACUGUUUCUCUUGAGUGCCGGAGAGGUAGACGGAAUUCCUAGUGUAGCGGUGAAAUGCGUAGAUAUUAGGAGGAACACCAGUGGCGAAGGCGGUCUACUGGACGGUAACUGACGCUGAGGCGCGAAAGCGUGGGGAGCAAACAGGAUUAGAUACCCUGGUAGUCCACGCUGUAAACGAUGAAUACUAGGUGUGGGGGGACUGACCCCCUCCGUGCCGCAGUUAACACAAUAAGUAUUCCACCUGGGGAGUACGGCCGCAAGGCUGAAACUCAAAUGAAUUGACGGGG
This 396-nucleotide ribosomal RNA is filed under the name uncultured bacterium. Its description in RNAcentral is "partial 16S ribosomal RNA". It matches the Rfam family "Bacterial small subunit ribosomal RNA", at positions 523 to 918 of the family's 1533-position model. The record is from RNAcentral.